AGAGUUUGAUCAUGGCUCAGAGUGAACGCUGGCGGCAGGCCUAACACAUGCAAGUCGAACGGCAGCACAGAGGAGCUUGCUCCUUGGGUGGCGAGUGGCGGACGGGUGAGGAAUGCGUCGGAAUCUGCCUAUUUGUGGGGGAUAACGUAGGGAAACUUACGCUAAUACCGCAUACGACCUACGGGUGAAAGUGGGGGACCGCAAGGCCUCACGCAGAUAGAUGAGCCGACGCCGGAUUAGCUAGUUGGCGGGGUAAAGGCCCACCAAGGCGACGAUCCGUAGCUGGUCUGAGAGGAUGAUCAGCCACACUGGGACUGAGACACGGCCCAGACUCCUACGGGAGGCAGCAGUGGGGAAUAUUGGACAAUGGGCGCAAGCCUGAUCCAGCCAUGCCGCGUGUGUGAAGAAGGCCUUCGGGUUGUAAAGCACUUUUGUCCGGAAAGAAAUCCUUUCGAUUAAUACUCGGAAGGGAUGACGGUACCGGAAGAAUAAGCACCGGCUAACUUCGUGCCAGCAGCCGCGGUAAUACGAAGGGUGCAAGCGUUACUCGGAAUUACUGGGCGUAAAGCGUGCGUAGGUGGUUUGUUAAGUCUGAUGUGAAAGCCCUGGGCUCAACCUGGGAACUGCAUUGGAUACUGGCUUACUAGAGUGCGGUAGAGGGUAGCGGAAUUCCCGGUGUAGCAGUGAAAUGCGUAGAUAUCGGGAGGAACAUCCGUGGCGAAGGCGGCUACCUGGACCAGCACUG
This 745-nucleotide ribosomal RNA is filed under the name Lysobacteraceae bacterium enrichment culture clone JUMSS254PW-7(R8). Its description in RNAcentral is "bacterial SSU rRNA". It matches the Rfam family "Bacterial small subunit ribosomal RNA", at positions 8 to 742 of the family's 1533-position model. The record is from RNAcentral. Lineage: Bacteria; Pseudomonadati; Pseudomonadota; Gammaproteobacteria; Lysobacterales; Lysobacteraceae.